GAGGAUAUAGCUCAGUGGUAGAGUGUGUGCUUAGCAUGCACAAUUUCCUAGGUUCAAUCCCCACUGCCUCCA
This 72-nucleotide transfer RNA is filed under the name Camelus bactrianus (Bactrian camel). It matches the Rfam family "tRNA". Rfam says of the family: Transfer RNA (tRNA) molecules are approximately 80 nucleotides in length. Lineage: Eukaryota; Metazoa; Chordata; Mammalia; Artiodactyla; Camelidae. The record is from Rfam by way of RNAcentral. RNAcentral also lists the same sequence under 2 other names.